GAGCAUACCGCGUGAGGGAAGACGGCCUAUGGGUUGUAAACCUCUUUUUUCAGGGAGGAAUAAAUGACGUGUACCUGAAGAAUAAGCAUCGGCUAACUCCGUGCCAGCAGCCGCGGUAAGACGGAGGAUGCAAGUGUUAUCCGGAAUCACUGGGCGUAAAGCGUCUGUAGGUUGUUAAACAAGUCAACUGUUAAAUCUUGAGGCUCAACUUCAAAAUCGCAGUCGAAACUGUUUGACUAGAGUAUAGUAGGGGUAAAGGGAAUUUCCAGUGGAGCGGUGAAAUGCGUAGAUAUUGGAAAGAACACCGAUGGCGAAGGCACUUUACUGGGCUAUUACUGACACUCAGAGACGAAAGCUAGGGUAGCAAAUGGGAUUAGAUACCCCAGUAGUCCUAGCCGUAAACAAUGGAUACUAGAUGUUGAACAGAUCGACCUGUGCAGUAUCAAAGCUAACGCGUUAAGUAUCCCGCCUGGGAAGUAUGCUCGCAAGAGUG
This 493-nucleotide ribosomal RNA is filed under the name uncultured bacterium. Its description in RNAcentral is "bacterial SSU rRNA". It matches the Rfam family "Bacterial small subunit ribosomal RNA", at positions 389 to 896 of the family's 1533-position model. The record is from RNAcentral.